CUGCGGUGAUGCGUUUCUUAGGACACCUUUGGAUUAAACUGUGAAAAAAAAUAACAAUUUCUGAGCAGC
Small nucleolar RNA from Rhea pennata, 69 nucleotides. RefSeq annotates it as small nucleolar RNA SNORD58. The record is from RefSeq and is a predicted model, not a curated record. The transcript has a single exon. Lineage: Eukaryota; Metazoa; Chordata; Aves; Rheiformes; Rheidae.